This is a long non-coding RNA of Sarcophilus harrisii (Tasmanian devil), 1321 nucleotides long. RefSeq lists it as uncharacterized. The transcript is spliced from 2 exons. The record is from RefSeq and is a predicted model, not a curated record. NCBI's taxonomy places the organism in Eukaryota, Metazoa, Chordata, Mammalia, Dasyuromorphia, Dasyuridae.
CGGCUCUCUCCUUCGGCCGUUUUGCUAUUCGUCUGUCUGGCGACUAAGACUGGCGUGGGUCUCUAGUGCUGCCUUCUAUGCAGCAGCAGAUGUUUAUUGAGAUUUGCCAUAGUGCACAACUCUAGGGGGUAUGUAAAUAACUGUUCUUGACCUCAGGAAGCUUUUAAGAACUGGAUAAGAAACGGAACUAUACAAACAGGUAUAGAGGACAGAAUACUGAGAUGAAUAAACAAACAGCUGUGGAGGUUGAGGGAGAGAUCAUAUGAUCUCUCAAGUAAGGCCCUUAGCCAAAUUUUCAGGCCUAAUCUUUAGACCUAAAUUUCCAAUUGUUUCUAAGUCUUAUUUAUUCAUUCAGACUCUAAAAUAUCUUUUCUGUCCCCCUUUUUAUUUUCAGACUCUAAAAUAUCUUUUCUGUCCCCCUUUUUAUUUUACUACCAGAUCAGUCUAUUGCAAUGUAUCACUAUAAAAGAUCCCAACACAAGUCUGCAGAAAAGGACCUGCUCACUUUGUUGUACCCACUAAGUGCUGGGCCCUGUUUUCCAAUCAAAGGGUCUGCUGAAGGAGCUCACUCUGUACCAGUUAGGGGGAUGCAGUAUCACCGUGUGUUCAUCACUGAUACCUAUAGUUCCCUGUAACUCAUCUCUUCCCUCAUGGAGCCACCUUGAUUUCAUUAAGAAUCUUUUUUGAGGAGAAAAAACAUCAACUCAAAAAUAAAAGUAAAAUAUGACUGAAAGUAUUUAAAAAUAUUAUCUUUACCAAUUAACUAAUCUGUCUUAUCAUAAGCAGUCCGGGCAACUGUGAUUCUCUGAGCCUCAAGUAGGGCCUGGAAUUCUAGCCUAAAUCCAGACUAUCCUUUGUUAAACUGAAAUCUAAAACCCAUUGUUGGUGAUGAGUUUAUCUGUCUUCCCCUUUACCCCAAGUGAUACUCCAUCUCUGUCCUCAAAACUUUUAGAAGGACAAUGAAACAAUCAUUAUUCUUUGUUUCUUAUGAGUUCGGCCCCUGUCAAUCCAAGUUUUCUCUAGGUUAGGAAAUCAAAGUCUAGUUCUUCAAUUCACUCUUUACUAAGCAAUAGGUACAUCUUACACUUUAUAGCAGAGCAUGUUUUUCAGUUUGGUGAAAUGGAUGUUACAAGUAUUAUUUUUCUUAUUUCACAGAUAAGGAAAAUGGGGCCUAGAAAAAGUUGACUUUCCCCCAAUUAUAGUUAAUGAUGUUCAAAGCUGGAGCUCAAAACUAUUUUUUCCACAUCUGCCUCUUUUUUCACUAUUUGUUAUUGUCACUAUUUGUUAUUGUCAUCCUAUGUGAUAUCUCCCAAAGAAAAGA